GGUUAAGCGACUAAGCGUACACGGUGGAUGCCCUGGCAGUCAGAGGCGAUGAAGGACGUGCUAAUCUGCGAUAAGCGUCGGUAAGGUGAUAUGAACCGUUAUAACCGGCGAUUUCCGAAUGGGGAAACCCAGUGUGUUUCGACACACUAUCAUUAACUGAAUCCAUAGGUUAAUGAGGCGAACCGGGGGAACUGAAACAUCUAAGUACCC
This 210-nucleotide ribosomal RNA is filed under the name Pseudomonas aeruginosa. RNAcentral describes it as "partial 23S ribosomal RNA". It matches the Rfam family "Bacterial large subunit ribosomal RNA", at positions 1 to 211 of the family's 2925-position model. The record is from RNAcentral. Lineage: Bacteria; Pseudomonadati; Pseudomonadota; Gammaproteobacteria; Pseudomonadales; Pseudomonadaceae. RNAcentral also lists the same sequence under 2 other names.